ACCAGGGAGCAAUUUCCUCCCUCUGGCAAAAGCCCACCCACAGCCAUUGGGUUAAGGCUCUUGUGGAGCACAAGGAGAGCCACCGAGGUGGUGACUGCAGCACCAUGGGGGGCUUGGGACCAAAGGGAGACAGAUGCAACCCCAUUUUUGAGCUGUCCCUGGGUCCCCCAGGAAGGGGUAUUAGGUCAGGUCUGGGACUGGUGAGAACACCUGAGAAACACUGAAACCAGCAGUAUAAGACAUGCCUGGAGUGGCUGGAACACCUGUGGGGUCCUGCAGGACUGCAGGGGAGGGCAGACUUCCACAGUCACUUCACGAAGUCGCAUUCAGAAGCAGCCAGCCAAAUCAGAUUCACAAUGAGCAGCAGGAUGGACUCUCAGCUGAGCAUUUUC
This is a long non-coding RNA of Apus apus (common swift), 392 nucleotides long. RefSeq lists it as uncharacterized. NCBI's taxonomy places the organism in Eukaryota, Metazoa, Chordata, Aves, Apodiformes, Apodidae. The transcript has 3 exons. The record is from RefSeq and is a predicted model, not a curated record.